CCGUAGGUGAACCUGCGGAGGGAUCAUUACAGAGUUCAUGCCCUUACGGGUAGAUCUCCCACCCUAUGUUAUUAUUACUUUGUUGCUUUGGCGGGCCGUUAGGCUCUUGGCCCGGCUACCGGCUUAGGCUGGUAAGUGCCCGCCAGAGGACCCUAAACUCUGAAUAUUUUUGUCGUCUGAGUACUAUAUAAUAGUUAAAACUUUCAACAACGGAUCUCUUGGUUCUGGCAUCGAUGAAGAACGCAGCGAAAUGCGAUAAGUAAUGUGAAUUGCAGAAUUCAGUGAAUCAUCGAAUCUUUGAACGCACAUUGCGCCCCUUGGUAUUCCGAGGGGCAUGCCUGUUCGAGCGUCAUUACAACCCUCAAGCAUAGCUUGGUAUUGGGCUCGCUACUUACCUAGCGGGCCUUAAAAUCAGUGGCGGUGCCGUCGAGGCCCUGAGCGUAGUAAAUAUCCUCGCUAUAGGGACUCGGUAGGCAGUAGCCAUCAACCCCAACUUUCUAAGUUUGACCUCGGAUCAGGUAGGGAUACCCGCUGAACUUAAGCAUAUCAAUAAGCCGGAGGAAA
RNAcentral lists this ribosomal RNA (564 nucleotides) under fungal sp. shylm141. RNAcentral describes it as "eukaryotic LSU rRNA". The stretch from base 199 to 352 matches the Rfam family "5.8S ribosomal RNA". The record is from RNAcentral. Lineage: Eukaryota; Fungi.